AGCCUGCAAUGCCAGCCUCAGCCAACUGCUUUAACCACACCGGCAUAUAGAUAUAGAUAUAUAGAUAAAUAGCUAGACUCCCUCAUUGUAUAGCCUGAGAUCUAACUUGCUUGUACGAUAUCUAUAGAUGCCCUUUAACAGCUUAAACCUAAAGAUGAUUAGCUUUAACAAAAGUCGAAACAAACAAAAUACCCCUACAUGUGCAUUUUAUUACACAUAUACACAAAGAUAAGAGUCGAGAGACCCUUGAUCUGUGCUUUUCUGCUUCAAAAUUAAGCUAAAGAAGCAGCAGAAAUUGCGUACGGGUUGCCGAUCUAAGCCAGACCUUUUUCUUUUCAUCUUUCUUUU
Molecule: unclassified non-coding RNA, 348 nt
Filed under: Hevea brasiliensis (rubber tree)
Lineage: Eukaryota; Viridiplantae; Streptophyta; Magnoliopsida; Malpighiales; Euphorbiaceae
Source: RNAcentral